UUUGGUUUAGACUGUAAGCUAACAGUUGCAACAGGUCUCGUACUGCCGGAGCACCACCAGCUUCCCAUGAACACAUGUGUGCCGCGCUUACAUGUUUAUCGUGUAUUGUGUGCGUUUAUUGCGUGCUUAUCGUACGCGACAUUCGUCGACUGGGAAUUUCCGCGUGUUGGGGCGUUCUCCUGCCUUGAUCCAGUGGCGGAUGAUGGUCGUUGUUCGUUGCCACUCAACACAGCCUCACGGGACGCACAGCUUUGUGUCCGCGCUCAAAAGUGCUUUCUUGCUUCGUUCAUCGAUUACUCACGUUGAUCGAGUGAUCGAGUGUACUUCCGAAGACAAUCCGCGUCCGAGUGUUUUGACAAGCGGCGACCGCGGUUCCACAGGAGCGGAAGCUUGAGCCUUUUGACGAGCGACUGUGCCAAACUUGGGUAAGUUGAAGAAGGUCGCUGAACUACGUAACUUUGUUACUUCGUUGCAUGACAACUGUUUGCAGGAACCGUCGUGUUGGCACAGCGAGGAUGAUCAACAGAUACCCGAUAGGCAGCGAUGAGAGCUGUUCAUGGCACUGACACAGAGGACAGAUUGCAGUACAAGAUAGGAGCAUACUUCCUGCAAGCCCGGGCAAGCCAUAAUGAGUGGUUUCAAAUACAGCAACUGUACCACCACAACAGUGCAGCACAGGAGAGCC
Rhipicephalus sanguineus (brown dog tick) is the source of this 685-nucleotide long non-coding RNA. RefSeq lists it as uncharacterized. NCBI's taxonomy places the organism in Eukaryota, Metazoa, Arthropoda, Arachnida, Ixodida, Ixodidae. The transcript is spliced from 3 exons. The record is from RefSeq and is a predicted model, not a curated record.